Molecule: long non-coding RNA, 9277 nt
Organism: Brienomyrus brachyistius
Lineage: Eukaryota; Metazoa; Chordata; Actinopteri; Osteoglossiformes; Mormyridae
Exons: 5
Source: RefSeq, a predicted model, not a curated record
GCCGGGUGACAUGACGGCAAUAGAAGACACUACUCUGCCGAGCCCAGGGUAGGGCAGUAUCUGUUUGUGCAUCACGUCACUCGGCAGAUCAUCAUGAUGAACCCUUUAGAGGGGUUGGUCGAUGGACGAAUUGAUGGUGGCGCGAUGCGCUGAGUUACCGUUCCUGCAGUCAGGAGGUCCUCAGUUCAAGGCUCGGCAGAGUAAGAUCUGUAUUUGUGUCACGUCUAACGGCCGAUCAUCAUCAUGAACCCUUAAGAGUGGUCAGUCGAUGGUGGCGUGAUGUGCUUAGUGACCGUCCCUGUGAUCAAGGAGGUCCCCGGUUGGAGUUGCAGGCAGGGCAGUACCUGCUUGUGUGUCAUGUCUCUCAGCAGAUCAUCAUCAUGAACCUUUAAGGGUGGUCAGUUGAUGGAUGGUGGUGUGAUGUGCUGAGUGACCGUGCCUGUGAUCAGGAGGUCCCCGGUUCAAGCCUCGGGUAGGGCAGUGUCUUUUUUUGUGUCAUGCACUCGGCAGAUCAUCAUCAUGAACCCUUAAGGGUGGUCAGUUCAUAGAUGGAUGGUGGCGCGACGCGCUGAGUGACUGUGUCUGUGGUUGAGGAGGUCCCUGGUUCGAGCCUCAGCAGAGCAGCAUUUUUUUACUGCCGUCGCAUCCCCUGGCAAAUCAUAUUCUUGAAGCCUUAAGGGCGGUCAGUCAGAGGAUGGAGGGUGGUGCGGCACAAUGAGUGACUGUGCCUGCAAUGGAGAAGGUCACUGGUGCGAGCCUCACAGAGACAGGUGAUACAUGUGUGAGAAUCUUUUAUUUGGCAAGAUAGGGAAAAAAAACAUAUAUACGAAAAACAGAGCUUGCAAGCAGAGGUGGCAAGUGGCGCUGCAGGCUAAGCCUCUGUAUCUGUGAUCAGAAGGUUGCUGGUUCAAGCCCAGCAUUGGCGGAAGAGAUGGGUGGUACAUGUGUGUGAAUCCUUUAUUUGGCAAGAUAGGGAAAAAAAAACAUAUAUACGAAAAUGAGUACAUACAAGCAGAAGUGGCGAGUGGCGCUGAAGGCUAAGCCUCUGUAUCUGUGAUCAGAAGGUUGCUGGUUCAAGCCCAGCAUUGGCGGAAGAGAUGGGUGGUACAUGUGCGUGAAUCCUUUAUUUGGCAAGCUAGGGAAAAUAAAAGACAUAUAUACGAAAAACAGCAUACAAGUAGGGAUGGUGAGUGGCGCUGCAGACUCAGCCUCUGUAUUUGUGAUCAGAAGGUUGCUGGUUCAAGCCCAGCAUUGGCGGAAGAAAUGUGUGUGAAUCCUUUAUUUGGCAAGAUAGGGAAAAUAAAAGACAUAUAUACGAAAAACAGAGCUUGCAAGCAGAGGUGGCGAGUGGCGCUGCAGGCUAAGCCUCUGUAUCUGUGAUCAGAAGGUUGCUGGUUCAAGCCCAGCAUUGGCGGAAGAGAUGGGUGGUACAUGUGUGUGAAUCCUUUAUUUGGCAAGCUAGGGAAAAUAAAAGACAUAUAUACGAAAAACAGCAUACAAGUAGGGAUGGUGAGUGGCGCUGCAGACUAAGCCUCUGUAUUUGUGAUCAGAAGGUUGCUGGUUCAAGCCCAGCAUUGGCGGAAGGGAUGUGUGUAAAUCCUUUAUUUGGCAAGAUAGGGAAAAUAAAAGACAUAUAUACGAAAAACAGCAUACAAGUAGGGAUGGUGAGUGGCGCUGCAGACUAAGCCUCUGUAUCUGUGAUCAGAAGGUUGCUGGUUCAAGCCCAGCAUUGGUGGAAGAGAUGGGUGGUACAUGUGUGUGAAUCCUUUAUUUGGCAAGAUAGGGAAAAUAAAAGACAUAUAUACGAAAAACAGCAUACAAGUAGGGAUGGUGAGUGGCGCUGCAGACUAAGCCUCUGGACAUCUGUGAUCAGAAGGUUGCUGGUUCGAAUCCAGCCUCAGCAGAGUAGCCACAGAGAAAGAGGUUCUCAGAGGUGGAGGAAGGGCCACAGAGAGACAGGUGGGAGUGUGAAUCGCAAAAAAAAAAAAAACUUUUUAUUUUUUUCUCAAAAAAAGGGUGGUGAGUGGCUAAUCUCUGUGAUCAGGUCAGUGUCCUCAAGCCUGCCCUCAGCGGAAUAGUUACAUGGCAGGCCCUUGAACACACUGACUGAUCCUGCUCUCUCUCUCUCUCUCUCUCUCUCACUCACAUACUCUUUCUCACUCUCUCUCACACACACACACACACACAGGGUCAGCCAAUGCAACCAAGGACCCAUCUUGUAACCAACCUACUGAGGGCGGGCUUGAACCAUCAACCUCAACUUUCCAAUCACAAGCGCAGCGACUUAGCCCACUGAGCCACUCACCAGUCCCAUUCGGAGCUCAUCUUUUCGUAAUUUUGACUCUCAAACACGUACGGGUCAGAGCAGAUUCGGUUUACGCAUCUGUGGCGAUUUCUGAACAACUUUUUACCCGGAUCUGGUUCACACUCAACUUGCUAUGUGGCCCCUCAGAAUUGGGACACCUGCCUUUACUCACACAUGAACUUUAAUGACAUCCCAUUCUUAAUACAUAGGCUUUAAUAUGGAGUUGGCCCACCAUUUGAAGAUAUAACAGCUUCAACUCUUCUGGGAAGACUGUUCACAAGGUUUAGGAGUGUGUUUAUGGGAAUUUUUGACCAUUCUUCCAGGAGAGCAUUAGUGAGGUCAGGCACUGAUGUUGGACGAGAAGGCCUGGCUCGGGGUCUCUGCACUGAUUCAUCCCAAAGGUCUUCUGUCGGAUUGAGGUCAGGGCUCUGUGCAGGCCAGUCAAGUUCCUCCACACCAGACUCGCUCAUCCAUGUCCAUAAACAGACGGCACCUGUCUCCAAAUUCCAUUAAAAAAAAAACGCGCUUGAUGCUGCGUUCAGUGCAAAUGUAAUGACAAAAACAUUACAGAUACUUCUCCGCCUGAGGCUUGAACCAGCGACCUCCUCGAUCGCAGGCACGCCACAGCAGAGUAGUAUCCUGUAUUGUGAGCGUCACGCGCGUCACCUUCCACAGCAUUGCUACAGCAGGCUCCGUACGAGCACCUCAGACGUCGGCUUUUGUGUAAAAUCAACUCUGACUAGGAGAGGACGAUCAAAACUUCGGGAGAACUUGACAAGACACUGCGCAACCCAGGCCGAGGAGUUCUGCAGGCGUUAGUCAAUGCCAGAAGACCCUGUAACUAUGACCUGGCCCUACCCAUCACGCCUGAGGGUCGUGAGACAACUGCAAGGGGUUAGCAAAAGCCAGGAACCAAGAAGCAGAGCAGCAAAGACCCCCUGUGGGUGGGAUUAAGCGCCGGAGCAACCCAGUCACUCAGAGAAAGUGAGCUAAACUGACUGUUGACUGAUAGCACACAUCAGCCACUAAGAGAUUCAGAGCCUCGUUUCUCACACUAAAUAAAAGUGUGGUGUUUUAUCAGAGCUGUGUAGUAAAGCACAAGCAGUCAAAGGCAGUGGAGAAGCAGCAAGUGCUGGGGGGGGAGGUCUCUGUAUCCCAGUGAUGCUCACUGCGUCUUCACAGGAUAAAUUCUGAGCGUCCAGGUGUAGGGGGGAGCGUCCUCGCUGGCAUUCCUCGUGCGUCACCCGAGAGCAAUGAGAUCCUGGUGUGCUUUCGAGGAAAAAGCACCCCCUGGGCUGAAAGCCAUAGCAAAAAUGUGCCCUCACGGUCCGAGCGGAACCGACAGCGCAUUCCGACCGGCACGCGUGUCGAUGGAGAAUCAGACUGUUAAACAGGAAGCAAAUUGUGUAAUACAUCCGAAUAUCAAAACACAAACCUGCAGGCUGGCUGAGUCAACAAUGCGCUUGUGGCUGGAGGCUGUCUGGGGCAGAAUAUGAGUCACAUAACAUGUGAAUAUAAAGACACAAUGUGCAGGUUCUCAGACUGCAAACUCACAUUUCAGUCUGACCUGAAGCACUUCAGACACUCGUCAAUAUUCAGGCGACGCUGUCGGGACUGGGGGGGGGGUCGGAGUCCAUCCCUGAGGUUGCCCCCCUGAGGGAGUGGGGGGAGUUGGUGGAUCAGCAGUCCCAGGGUCUUCUGAAGCCUCUCCCCCAGCUCAGAGGGGUGGUGAGGAGGGAGGGGAGAGCUGUGGGCAUAAUGAAUCCGAGGUUACUGUGUGCAGCUCAAAGCCCUGCUGAUUCCAUUCAUUAGCUGCUAUCUGGAGUCCAUUAAGGCACCAAGAAGAGCAGGGCAGGGUGUGACCGGAUGUGUUGCGUUUUGGUUGCUUUCGUAGGACUCGCUUUACGUUAUUCAUACUAACAAUGUGCACUUUGAUUCCAAAGCAACCUUACGCAGCAGAAUGUUCGCGUACCUUAACGGAAGCUGCUCCCCCAGGUGAACCCUGAUCUCUUCUCCAGCUCGCAAACCGCUCCGCCCCCUGAUGGUGAGUGGCACCCCGGGUCCGCCCCACUGCAUUGUUGAAGCCAAAGCUGGAGACCUAUCAGUCAUAGCAGACAUUCUGCAGGCCCACGCCUGGCCUGCCAUAGGACCUGCGCCUCCGUCGCUUUUCCUGUCGAUUUGCCGCCCUGCGCUGCAAGUGAUCCAUUUUAAUAGCACCCUGCCGCAUGUUCUGGGUACUGAGGCGCAGCACUGCCUCCCACACAUGCUGAAACAAGAGUGGGGCUGACAUCUGACCCCCCCCCACCACCACCAUCACCACCCCAAGAGCCCUUGGUGCAGAGCUAGCGGAUACAGACCCACCGCAGUACCUGUCUUGCCCACCAGUGGGCGGCGUAGAGCUUUGAGUGUGGAGGAGGACGUGCCAAGGUGCAGCCGAGAGAGAGCGCUCAUGAAGCCAGACACAACAGUGCACAGAGGAGUCCUCGACAUGCAUGCAUAUGAAGUCGCCACCUAUCCAUGCAGCUCACAUCACUGUGAAUUAGGGUGCUCUUCCUACACUGACUCUCUCAUUUUCCGGUUCCAACCAAUGCAAUCCCCGCACUGCAAGCAAAAAAUCUAUGCAAAACAGAGGUUAGUAUUCAAAUCAAAGCUAACAUCUUCACAGUUACACCUCCAUCGUCUGCAUCCAACUGGAACUUUUUCAAACCAGAAAGAAACACACCAAUGCCCCGUCUACUAAAAGGCUUUUUUAUUUCCCAUCAUGCGAAGCGGCGUGCAAUCUGCGCCGCGCCCAGUGCGAGAGGACGGGAUACUGCCAUCCUGCUUCCAUCUGUGGCUGGACACUCGAGUACUGAGGCCUGAUGGCUCAGACUGUGUGUUUCCAGCAAAAUGAACCCGCAGAUAAGCAACACCUUCCCCUGCUCUCAAACACAUGACAGAUUAAUGGGGUACUCUGCGCGCGCGCGUGCGUGUGUGUGUGUGUGUGUGUGUACGUCCCGAGGAUGCGUGUGCGUGUGGCUCAGCGUGGGCGUAUGUCCCAUUGUCUGAGAAAUCAUGUUUUACUGUUUAUUUCAUUAUUUAACAUGUAGGGUGUCUGCAUGCGUGGGAGUGUGUGUGUCUCUGUGUUCGUCCCGCCAGAUACACGGGUGCAUGUGUGUGUGCGUGGGCACUGUGUGUCUAAGUGGGGGUGUGGCUGCAGGUAUUGCAGACCCCUUCAGGGACCAGAACAAAGGAAUCUCACUCAAUAAUGUGGGGUUAAGUUUACAUUGACUUACAUCGGGGUACAAAUCAAGGCCUUUUAUUUUGCAAUAAACACAAACUAAUAACUAACAUAAAAAUAACCUUUGCUCAAUAGUGUGCAGUCCUUCCGAACCUAUAAUUAAAGUGUCAUGCUCAUUCAGGAAAUGCUGAGAAGAAUCUCGGCGUGUGAAGGCCACCUCAGAAGCAAGCUACUUUCAGGAAGCGUAAUUAAAGCUGGACCUUCUUAUUUCCACUCCUUCGUUAGUGAAACACAUCGCCGAUUUGCAGCCCCGCUGGUGGAACAACAAAGGGCUGCUGAGCGGGAUCACCAGCCAGGACCUGGGGGUUUCUGGGACCAUCCUUCUCUUCUGCCUGAUUGGGCGCCUGCAUGCAGUAGGAAGGCUGAACAACUAGGACUGCUUCGGCGAGCCUCUCCAGCCAGCCCAGUGACAGGGAGGACACACCCAUCAGGCGCGGGGCCAGGAUGCACGUGCCCCCUACUGGGGGGGGGGAGCGGGGGACACUGGAUCAGAGCACGGCGCCUGACACAGUGCCAACCUGAUGGCUUCACUGGAGGCCACGUGCAGUAUGCUUUCCAGAGCUGUGCAUCACAAAGCUCAUAUCCUCCCUGUGCUGGACAAGCAGAAUGGACCCAUCUUCAGCUCAGACACUGCGAAGUCAGGCCAACCCUUACACAAAAAGAAGAAAUUAAAUGGCACGUCUAAUUAUUAUUCAGUUAAAUAAUAAUAAGCAAUUAAUAUUAAUGGUUAAAAUAAUUCCCGAAAGCCCCUGCACCGUGAAAAGGAAGAGAGAGGACAGAAAGGUUUAUAACAUUACGGGGUAAUCAAGUAGCAUAUGAUUCACAUCGGGAUAUUGUUAAGACGCAGCGCAGUGUCGUGGGCGGCCACUAGAGGUCACCGGGUCGGACAGCCCCCCCGCCACCUCAGCAUAUCCCGUUGCUGAAAUCGGAAGCGUGUCGAAUCGGCUGUUUUCUUUUGAACCGGUGACCCAAGGCUCAAACUGCAAGCAGGUGCAUCAGGUCAAAUGUCUGCAGCAGGCGAUGGGCCGCCCGAGCUCACUGUUAUUCUGGGAUUAGCGUUCCAAAGGCCAUCGCAGGCCGUCGCAGGCCGUAAGGGCACGGCAGCCAUUUCGCCUGACACCCCCGCUUUCAGCCCAGACAGUGUGGUGUGGGCGAUCGUCUAGAGUGUCGGAUUAUUAUGUACAAUUAUAAUAUCUGAAAGCGGAUAUGGCACGAGAGUGUGCUGCUCGCCGCAGGCAGGAAGAGGACAUCAGACUCACGGAAACAAUAAGAGAGGCAGCAGGGCCAGUGUCACCUGAAGAGUGUCCACUAGUGCUGUGGUGGACUUAAGGGUUUCUUGGUUCUAGGGGAAAAUUGGACUGGACCCCUCCUCAAGUGCAUCUGCACUAUGUGGCCAAAAGUAUGUGACAACAGACUGUCCAGUAUGUCAAUGUGAGGGCGAGGGUAUUAAUAUUAAGCCGGUCAGCCCAUUGUCACUGUAACAGCCUCUGCUCUUCUGGGAAGGUUUUCCAUUAGAUGUUGAAAUAUAGCUGGAUUUAUUGCCUUUCAGGUUUGGUGUUGAUGUUAGGCGAUCAGGUCACUUACUGUGGGCUUGCGUGUCCAACCGUUUUGCAGCUGAACUUGCUUCCAGACAUUAUGACCUUCACAGUCACUUUACUCACGCUUAACUAGGGCAACUCUAGCGGAAAGUUGGCGUUACAGGGCAACCAAACCAACUGACCAGUAAAGGUGUCCAAAAACUAGUUGAGAUCUGCAGCAUCAGAGAUGGAAACCCAUAAAUGUCACACUAGUUCUGAAUGUGACACCCAGUGAGGCACCGGUGACCUGCUGGCUUCUGAUCCAUCUCCUGAACUGACCCAUCUACUGUCAAAGUGUUAAGUAGCUCAGUUCAUGAUGAAAUGGCACUGGGUUAGAGUAGACACUGGAAAACUAUAGUGGCUGCGCUGUCAAUCCACAUCUUAUUACGAUCUUUAUUUGAUCUCCCUGUGUUGAACCAGGAUUGACCUCAUAUAGCAGUCAUAUGAUGGCAUUUACUCUUGGGGGGGGGGAGAGGGAGGGUGUGGAAGAUGCAACCCCUGAGACAGAGUGGAAGGAAGAAACAGCAACUUUACUGAGGGACACGACUGUAUCGGGUUUUAGUGCAAGUCGGGUGAUGGAGGGGCUCACAGCGGGGACCAGACUCCAGCGUCACUAUGAGUAACCGGUGAAGUGAGUGAAGUGAAGUGUCACCUGACGUCACCUGGCCCAGAAACAGCCCAGGAUCUCACACCCUGUUCUUUCCUUCAGUAAGUCCAACUUGGGAAACUGCUGCUGUAACCCUGAAGAGGAAAACGCCAGACUGUCUGAGCACACACCUUGGCAAACCGCAAACUGCUUCAGAGAGAAAUGCUAGCUGAGAGGAUACCUACGAUGUGGGCAGCAGGGGCUCGAACCGGCCUUGUCCGUCAGGAGCGGGGACACCGUUGGGCCAGGUGGGGGGGGGGGGGGUCCCUGCAGAUCGGCGGCAGGCAGGGUGGGGACCGGCCAUCAUCUGGCCAUCAGCAUACCUGCCGUUUGAAGUCAUACAGCCCCACCCCCUACAGACCCGCCACAACACUAUCAAAUUUAAACCCCCAGGGCAUGGAGCAUGCCGACCAAGGCGUGAAGUCACCCCGGGAUCACGUUAAAUGCAGCAUGAUGCAUGCAGGUACGCAGCGAUGCUCAGCUCCUCGCUCGGCCCCUACUGCUCAGCUGUUGAACUGCCAAGGGCUCUGACUGACCGCACUGAGAUCCCAGUGAUCCCCUAACCCUAAUCAUUUAAACACAAAAGGGCAUCACACUACAAGCUCCUGUACUUGCUAGCAUCGCCUAUUAACAGGCCCCGCCCCCUACAGAGACCUCCUGCCCCCCAGCUCUGGAGGUUCCAGCGUACAGGCUUGCUUAUCGACCGUCCCACACAUUAAGGUCAAAUUACCUUGCUGUCCUGCCCCCCUCGUUAAAAGCUCUGUAUCCAUAGAGGUAAGAGCUGUGAAAAUGCACAAUGAGUCGGUGACAGGGAUCCACCGGUGAUGACCUCAUCAUCCUCUAUGUGACGAACCCCCAGUACGACACCAAAUAGAGCCACCCAGAGAAGCUAGAGGAGGAAGUUAUCUUGUGGUGCAGGGAGAACUUACCUGCAGCUCAACAUCAAAAAGACAAAAGAGUUGGUGGUGGACUUCCAGCGUGACGAAGAGCCCCUCAGACCAGUGACCAUACAGGGGGAGGAAGAGAAGGUGUUGCAGACCUGCAAGGACCUGGGGCUCCACCUGAAGAGCAGACAGGGCAGGACGGACAAGACAGCGGUGCUGAACAACAUCAUGGACAAUUCUGCCCAUCCCCUCCAGGGGGCGUUAUCUUGGAGCACCAUUAGCCAAUGGCUCAUUCUACUAUGAUGUGCUAAGAAGCUCUACUGAGGAUCCUCCCAGCCUGCUGUCACCAGGCACUACAAACCCGCCUUUGGAUAUGUCACUCGCCACCCCUGGCCAUAACUACACACUGCAUACCUAUGCAUGAUGGUGCACAAUGCACACAUUCUUAUUUUAUUAAUUUUACGUGAUCUUGUUUUGCACUACGCAUAAUAUCUUUGCACUAUGGAUCCGUGCAUUUGUACAUAUUCCUUUACUGCUAUAUGCAAAUGAACUUUCCCCUGUAAUAAAUAACUGAUAUUAUCCAUC